CCUACGGGAGGCAGCAGUGAGGAAUAUUGGUCAAUGGCCGGGAGGCUGCACCAGCCAAGUCGCUUGCGGGAAGACGGCCCUACGGGUUGUAAACCUCUUUUGUCAAGGAGCAAGGUGCAGGUCGGGACCUGCUGUGAGAGUACCUGACGAAAAAGCAUCGGCUAACUCCGUGCCAGCAGCCGCGGUAAUACGGAGGAUGCGAGCGUUAUCCGGAUUUCUUGGGUUUAAAGGGUGCGCAGGCGGAGGCCCAAGGCAGCGGUAAAAGGGCGGGGCUCAACCCCGCGCCGCCGUUGAAACUGUGUCCGUGGAGGGCGCGAAGGGUAGGCGGAAUGCGUGGUGUAGUGGUGAAAUGCAUAGAUAGCACGCAGAACUCCGAUCGCGAAGGCAGCCUACCGGCGCGCAACUGACGCUCAUGCACGAAAGCGUGGGUAUCGAACAGGAUUAGAUACCCGGGUAGUC
This 459-nucleotide ribosomal RNA is filed under the name uncultured bacterium. Its description in RNAcentral is "partial 16S ribosomal RNA". It matches the Rfam family "Bacterial small subunit ribosomal RNA", at positions 338 to 795 of the family's 1533-position model. The record is from RNAcentral.